AAUGAACGCUGGCGGUAGGCCUAACACAUGCAAGUCGAACGGCAGCACAGUAAGAGCUUGCUCUUACGGGUGGCGAGUGGCGGACGGGUGAGGAAUACAUCGGAAUCUACUUUUUCGUGGGGGCUAACGUAGGGAAACUUACGCUAAUACCGCAUACGACCUACGUGUGAAAGCAGGGGAUCUUCGGACCUUGCGCGAUUGAAUGAGCCGAUGUCGGCUUAGCUAGUUGGCGGGGUAAAGGCACACCAAGGCGACGAUCCGUAGCUGGUCUGAGAGGAUGAUCAGCCACACUGGAACUGAGACAAGGUCCAGACUCCUACGGGAGGCAGCAGUGGGGAAUAUUGGACAAGGGGGGAAAGCCUGAUCCAGCCAUACCGCGUGGGUGAAGAAGGACUUCGGGUUGUAAAGCCCUUUUGUUGGGAAAGAAAAGCAGCAGGUUAAUACGCCGCUGUUCUGACGGUACCCAAAGAAUAAGCACCGGCUAACUUCGUG
RNAcentral lists this ribosomal RNA (492 nucleotides) under uncultured bacterium. Its description in RNAcentral is "partial 16S ribosomal RNA". It matches the Rfam family "Bacterial small subunit ribosomal RNA", at positions 29 to 507 of the family's 1533-position model. The record is from RNAcentral.